GGCGUGGCGGGCGUGCCUAUAAUGCAGUCGAGCGGAUUGAUGGGAGCUUGCUCCCUGAUAUCAGCGGCGGACGGGUGAGUAACACGUGGGUAACCUGCCUGUAAGACUGGGAUAACUCCGGGAAACCGGGGCUAAUACCGGAUAACUCAUUUCCUCGCAUGAGGAAAUGUUGAAAGGUGGCUUCGGCUACCACUUACAGAUGGACCCGCGGCGCAUUAACUAGUUGGUGAGGUAACGGCUCACCAAGGCAACGAUGCGUAACCGACCUGAAAGGGUGAUCGGCCACACUGGGACUGAAACACGGCCCAGACUCCUACGGGAGGCAGCAGUAGGGAAUCUUCCGCAAUGGACGAAAGUCUGACGGAACAACGCCGCGUGAGUGAUGAAGGUUUUCGGAUCGUAAAGCUCUGUUGUUAGGGAAGAACAAGUGCCGUUCCAAUAGGGCGGCACCUUGACGGUACCUAACCAGAAAGCCACGGCUAACUACGUGCCAGCAGCCGCGGUAAUACGUAAGUGGCAAGCGUUGUCCGGAAUUAUUGGGCGUAAAGCGCGCGCAGGUGGUUCCUUAAGUCUGAUGUGAAAGCCCACGGCUCAACCGUGGAGGGUCAUUGGAAACUGGGGAACUUGAGUGCAGAAGAAGAAAGUGGAAUUCCAAGUGUAGCGGUGAAAUGCGUAGAUAUUUGGAGGAACACCAGUGGCGAAAGCGACUUUCUGGUCUGUAACUGACACUGGGCGCGAAAGCGUGGGGAGCAAACAGGAUUAGAUACCCUGGUAGUCCACGCCGUAAACGAUGAGUGCUAAGUGUUAGGGGUUUCCGCCCCUUAGUGCUGCAGCUAACGCAUAGCACUCGCUGGGAGUACGUCGCAGACUGAACUCAAGAUGACGGGGGCCGCACAAGCGUGGAGCAUGUUGGUUAUUCGAGCAA
RNAcentral lists this ribosomal RNA (925 nucleotides) under uncultured prokaryote. Its description in RNAcentral is "bacterial SSU rRNA". It matches the Rfam family "Bacterial small subunit ribosomal RNA", at positions 32 to 958 of the family's 1533-position model. The record is from RNAcentral.